Molecule: long non-coding RNA, 961 nt
Organism: Lycium ferocissimum
Lineage: Eukaryota; Viridiplantae; Streptophyta; Magnoliopsida; Solanales; Solanaceae
Exons: 2
Source: RefSeq, a predicted model, not a curated record
UAAAGCAACACCUUUUACGACUUAAUUAGAAUGCUUCUAUGAGCAUAUAACAUAUUUAGAGUAUGUUGUGUUGUGUUCUUUUACUUGAAGUCAUGCUUGCUUCCAAUUGUUCUUUGGUCUUUGGUGUUACCUUUGUUCUCCUCUACAUUAUUUGCUGGCACUAUGCUAACUACAUUUGAUGUUUCACAAACAUAACUUUCAUCAGCGACUAUGUUUACUUUUGCGAAAAUUUGAAAUUUCUUCGAACUUCCAAGUAGUUAGAUUGCACUUGUUGUUGUUGUUUGAACUUCCAAAUAUCAGACAAGAAGAUGCUUUCUGAAGGUCUGCGAAUCUGGCAAUAAAUAAUUCCCAUAAGCUUUUGGGAACACAUCGACCCUGUCAAAUGAAAAUCAUCCUUGAAUGCUUUGUCUGCAUCUAUUCUGCUUUAUUCAGAAACACCUUACAUAGUGUGCUUUAUUCAUUCGUGCUGGAAAAUGUUUUAUUCGACAUCCCCAAUUCUUAUGCAUGUGAUGUAUCAUUGCUGGUUAUAGCUGUUUAAUAGCUUUAGUUCACUUAUGAUCUCUCUCAUCUUUUAUAUGUUUUAGAUCUGUCUGAUAAAUCUCCUGCUAUUUUAUGACCCGGUUAGUUGUUUGAGUUGUUUUGACUUCUGUCUCUGUUUCUACUCUCUUAUAUAUGUGUUGCAUUGUCAGAAAAUAAUACUCCCUCUGUUCCAAUUUAUGUGGCACUGUUUGACUUGGGACAAAGUUUAAGAAAGAAAUGAACGACUUUUGAAAUAUGUGGUCUAAAACAAACCUUAGAUAUUUGUGUGGCUAUAAAUCAUUUCACUAAGGGUAAAAGGGGAAUUCUAAAGUUAAGUUGUUUCUAAUUAUAGAAAAGUAACAUUAUUUUUUGGGAGAGACUAAAAAGGAAAGGGUGCCACAUAAAUUGGGACGGAGGGAGUUCACAAAAACUUACUUUUUUC